GUGUCUGCCUUAUCAACUUUCGAUGGUAGUUUAUGUGCCUACCAUGGUUGUUACGGGUAACGGAGAAUAAGGGUUCGACUCCGGAGAGGGAGCCUGAGAAACGGCUACCACAUCCAAGGAAGGCAGCAGGCGCGCAAAUUACCCACUCUCGGCAUGAGGAGGUAGUGACGAAAAAUAACGAGACCGUUCUCUAUGAGGCCGGUUAUCGGAAUGGGUACAAUUUAAACCCGUUAACGAGGAUCUAUGAGAGGGCAAGUCUGGUGCCAGCAGCCGCGGUAAUUCCAGCUCUCAAAGUGUAUAUCGUCAUUGCUGCGGUUAAAAAGCUCGUAGUUGGAUCUGCGCCUCAGGACUCGGUCCGCCCACUGGGUGAGAACUGGGCUCCUAGGCUAAUACUGCUGGUUUUCCCUAUGUUGCCUUCACCGGUCGCGUAGGGUGGCUAGCGAGUUUACUUUGAAAAAAUUAGAGUGCUUCACGCGGGCUAUUGUCUGAAUACUCGUGCAUGGAAUAAUAGAAUAGGAUCUCGGUUCUAUUUUGUUGGUUUUCUGAUCUGAGAUAAUGGUUAAGAGGGACGGACGGGGGCAUUCGUAUCGCUGCGUGAGAGGUGAAAUUCUUGGACCGUAGCGAGACGUCCGACUGCGAAAGCAUUUGCCAAGAAUGUCUUCAUUAAUCA
RNAcentral lists this ribosomal RNA (670 nucleotides) under Cosmocerca simile. Its description in RNAcentral is "SSU rRNA". It matches the Rfam family "Eukaryotic small subunit ribosomal RNA", at positions 303 to 979 of the family's 1831-position model. The record is from RNAcentral. Lineage: Eukaryota; Metazoa; Nematoda; Chromadorea; Rhabditida; Cosmocercidae.